This 215-nucleotide unclassified non-coding RNA is filed under the name Hevea brasiliensis (rubber tree). The record is from RNAcentral. Lineage: Eukaryota; Viridiplantae; Streptophyta; Magnoliopsida; Malpighiales; Euphorbiaceae.
AACUAGGAGUUGUUUUCCUAAUACAUAAUAUAUCAAGGAUCGUGCAGUUUAUCUCCACAUUCGCACUUCCAUUCAACAGGAUAGUAUUCCAUUUGUUUAAGAUAAGACUCUGAUGGGUGUAAGGGAACUAAAACUGGUGCGCAUGGAGAGCAACCCAAGCACCUAGUCUUGCAAUCCGGAGGAGUCGACCCUAUCAACAUUCUCCUUUCUUUCAU